Equus caballus (horse) is the source of this 22383-nucleotide non-coding RNA. Lineage: Eukaryota; Metazoa; Chordata; Mammalia; Perissodactyla; Equidae. The record is from RefSeq and is a predicted model, not a curated record.
AGGAAGAUUGGCAAGAGUUGUUAGCUCAGAUGCCAAUGUUUAAAAGCAAAAAACCCAAAAACAUCAAGUUGGUUGGUAGAGUUUCCCAGAAAAGGUACAUAAAAUACUCACAAGUAGCUGAUUAAUUAGGAUGUAUUUAGCUGCAAGUCGUAGAAAAUGCAAUUCAGUGGCUUGAACCAGUGUUUCUUCAAUGUUGGGGCUUAUCCAAAUCACCUGGAGUGUGUAUUAGACCAGAUCGCUGGGCUGGCUCCUGGACUUUCUUUUCGGUGGUCUGGAGAGGGGCCCAGAUUUGCAUUUCUGAUAAUUUCCCAGGUGAUGAUGAUGUUGCUGGUGUGGGACCACACUUUGAGAACCACUAAACAGUAAAGGGAUUUAUGAUCUCGCAUAACAAGUUCAGGGUUAGGUUACUUAGGCAGCUGAGUGACAUCAUUGGGGGCACAGGAGCUUUUCAUCUUCUCAGUCAGCCAUCCUCAGGAUCUUGGCUUUUAUCUCAGUGUUACAAGUGUUUAUCUCAGUGUUAUCCCCUUGUGUUUAUAACAUGGUCGUAGCAGCUCCAAACAGCACAUCUUCCCAUAAUAAUAUCCAAUAAAGACAGUUUCUCUUCCUUGGUCCAUUUUUGGAGUGAUGCAAACAGUCCCAGAGCCCCCCACCCCUGGCCAGCACCACCCCACUUCUCAUUGACCAGAACUGGGUCCCCUGCCCAUUCUAACAUUGGUCCCUGGGAAAGGAGCAUGUGCUGUGGUUGAUUUACAGUAAAUGAGAUUCACCCUCUGUGGCUGGGAAGCAGUCAGCAUCCCCUGAAGCACCAGGCUGCAAGAUAUUGAACGAAGGGUGGGUGUUGGUAACCAGCACUGAGAAGGGGUGGGGUCUUGUCAGUAGUAGCUGACAGUGUCCGCGACGGCUGCAGAAAAUGAGCAUGUGAUCAAAACCAUUUUCCAAUGCAAUUAUACCUCAAAUAUGGGGUCUCCAUUUGUGGUGCACGUACUCCCAAUCUCCAGGGAUUUUGGAAGGGGGAUUUCUAAUACAGUACAACUAGAAUAAGACGAUAAAUUUAGCCUUAUCAAAAACACAAUAGUGAUGCUGGCCUGUGUUUACAGAAUUGUCCUUUUCAAGACUCCAGCCAUCAUUCUACCGCUCUGUUCUUCGUGUGUGUUUGUUUUUGUUAUUAAAUUCGGUGCAACAUUGGAAGCUAUUUUAUGAAAGAUCAAGAUACAAAGGAUGGAAAAUUGGGCUUUGAAGGUGCAUUAAAGUGAGGACUGCUUAGGCUAGAAAGGAGGAAGCUGCGGUGAUUUAUUGGGAUCGGUUAUGUUAGAGGCUAUGGCAAGAAAAAGAUGUGUCACUGAACUUCUCAAAAGAAGAUAUAACCAGAAAAUGGGACAAAAGACACGAAAAUACGUUCAUUUUCCACAAGGAAUAAUUUGAUAAUAAUGAAGAUUAUUAAAUACGAAUAUUGACGUCAAAAGAAUUUUAGAUGACAUUCCUUGGAGGCCUUAAAAAAGAGGACUUUGUAGCCAUCUUUCUUUGAAGGGACGGGAGAUUGCCAGGUCAGCCAUGCAAACUCGGCCAGCCCUUCCCACCUGGCCGCCACAUCACCCGACUCCACGGUCGGGGGUGUCGCUCUUCUUGGUACUUGCGUCAACAGCACCCCGGACUUGUGCAGGGCACAGCCUCAAGCCCAUAUAUCCUCGUCCUGUUUCUUGUCCUGGCGUCUCUGAGGAUUAGGGUACUACUUAGUUUUGGAUUUAAGCAGGGAAAAGAGAAUUCUUCUAGUGUGUCUUACACCUAGUUUACUAUGUUGUGAAAGUAUGCAACAGAGCAGUGUUUAAGAGUCUGAAGGAAAGAUCCGAAAACUUGACGGAGAGAUCAGGACCCUAGCUCAUUGCUGACCAUCCUCUACCUCUAUAAAAUCAUGCUCAUAGAGCAUCUCUAAAUCAUGGCACUUCAAGAGAUCAUAAAGUACACUGCAGCCAAAGUGACAGAAUGACCUUUAUAAAAUGUGUGUGUGAUCAUAUCUCCAUCUUGGUUAAAAAUUCUCCACCCCCUCCCCCACCGCCCAUCUUAUAGGAAAGGUCGCAAUUCCUCAGCCUAGUAGACACAAAGUGCUUUGUGAUCUGCUCUCCACUUGCUUCUUUAGGCUCACCUUCAUGGCCCUCUCUCCCGUGUCCCACGUCUCCUGCAUGUCCACGCCUAAUCUUACGAAAUCAUGUGAAUUGUACCCUGUUUGCAUACAGAAGAAAACAUAUAACGAAACUGAAAGAAUUGCUGAACCUGAAAUAAAUGUUAUUUAUCUGGAUAUAUUAUUUCCUAAAAGAUCCCUGAAGAAAAUUUAAUGCAAAAUAUUAGAAGUAUUUUUAAAAUAUACUUCUAAACGUUACACAUCAUUCCUUCACUUCUUCCUUCAAAAUCUGAGGCCAUUCAUGUUCUCAUUUCCUCUCACCACCCCUUUCCUCUUUUCCCUCCUUAUAUUUGUUAGUUACAUUAUUAUUAUUACACUGUCAAGGUAAAAAAAUUACAUUUCUUCUGUAAUACAAUUCACAUGGCUUUAAAAUAUUCAGCCUUUAUUUAAAUUGACUCAUUUCCUGCCGCUGGUCCUUUGAACACGCUUACUUUCUGAGCCAUCUAUUGUCUGGGUUUUGUUACUAAAAACAGAAAACUCAAAACUUUUUUCAAGAAACCUUUAUGCUGCCUGAGUUGUCUCAUAUCUGAGAAUAUGUGCCUCUUGCCUUUCUAGAUGAGGAAUAAAUUGGUUGGGUAGAAUAUCCUUGGGGCACAUGUUCUUCUCUCAAGAACUUCAUAUGCAUUCCUUGAAGUUGGGAAGCUUCACCAGGAUGUGUCUCAGUCUGGAGCGUUUUAUUUCAAAUGCCCUCGGCAAUACCGUGAACUCUGCAUUUGCAGAGACAGCUUUUUCCUGAUGUCAGGAAAAUGUUCUUCUGUUACACCUUUGAAUACUUGUUAUUUUUAAUUUGUUGAGUUCUCCACUUUAGGGACACUGGUUAUUUUGAUGGGCUUUAUCUUUGACACAUCUUCACAUCUGUGACUUUACCGUCUCUCUGUUUCUUACCGUCUUUCUCUUGUUUCGUCUGCCUGUGUCCCUGAGUCGUUGACGUUUUCUCUGUGUCCGUGGUUGAAGUUUUGGUGGAUCCUCCCUGUUCUUUAUGUUUCUAAUGUACGUGUUAGUGCGGAAUCAGUGUUGAUUUGGUCCUCAAUUCAUUGUCUUUAGAACUACAUUCCCCCUUUUCAUCGUAUCUUGAUUUUUGUUUACUAAUUCAUUUUUGAGCUCUUCAUUUAUUGAAUCCAGAGUUUCUCUGAAUGGCUUCUGAGUUUGAAUCACUUCGGGGAGGUUGGGCUUGUUAAAGGUACCCGGCACGCUCUCUCUUCUAGCUAGCUUCUCCCCCUCUGUACCCUCUCCCAGUGUUGGCAACAGAGGUCCUGAACUCGUCACCAAAUGUUAGUCCUUUUUUGACUGUGCCUUUGCAUAAAAAAUUCUCUUUGCCUGGGAGUGUUGAACGCUCCUUCCUUACCUGGAAAUUUGUACUCAGUCUCCACGAUGACUCCAUCAUGUGACUCGGUCAGGAUAGGCUGGGUGGUGCUCCAGUGGCAAUCAACUCCCAGAUCUCAGAAGCUUAUUCCUCACUCACAGUAACUUCUCCAAAGUGAGUGGGCAGAGGUGGGGGAGGACCGGAGUCUAGCUUUCUGGAGUCCCCAGGGACCCAGCUGAUGGAGGCAUCAUUGUUUGCUCCACAAUCGCUGUACACUUGAUAGGACACACGGCCGAUUGUCCACUGCCUCUUAAAACUUACACUCAGAAGCGAGACAUGUUGCUUCUCCUCAUUUUCCUUGGCCAGAGCUGAUCCUAUGGCCGCAUCUUCAAAGGGGAUGGGGAGCAACAUUACCAUGUGUCAGGAGGAGGAAAUCCAGAAAUAUCUGGUGAACAGUUUUAGUGACAACACCACCUGUAUUCAGCUCACUAAACAGAGCUAGUUACUCACUUCUCCGGGCUCCAAAACACUCUGCUCACCCCUCUGUUAUAGCAUCUUCCGAGCCUAACUGUAUUAUCUGAUUACAUCCGUUUCCUCCGUGAGGGAGCUCCUUGAUGGGAAGGAUCACGUUGCAGAGACAGGAGCUGCCCAAACUCUGCUGCCAUCGCUGCAAAGCCACAGUGCUAAGAUAUUUACCUACGUUCUCGUUUCACAUUCACAAACCCUGUGGGCUAAGGAGUAUUCUGGACACGGAAGCUCAGAAAGAUUAAACGACUUGCUCAAGGUCAGCCAGCUAAUAAACAGCGAGUCAGAAUUCAAAGCCCUUAUUCCAGGUCCCGGCUCUUUCCCGCUGUGUUUUGGUGGAGAUAACUCAACACGUGAUACAUGGGAGGCACUCAGCGAGUAUUUGUUGACUAUUUUGAAUGACUACAUGUGUCUCAUAUGCCACUAUAAUGGGACCAGACUAAGUGAGUUCGUCGUUUUGAAUGAUUAAACUGUAUACUUGCAUUAUUUUCCAAUAGCUUGUAUAUUGGCCUUAUGAAGGCAUAAAGUUCCUCAGGGAAUUAAUAUACCUUCUCUGAAUUAUAGUAAGUGACCAAUAUUGAAUCCCAGCACUCCCCCACCACUUCAUGUGGAUGGGAAUUACAUUUUGCUACCUAUAAUCAGAGAAGUCAAAACAACAAUGCUUUAAACAUAUAAACGUCUAUUCUCUCAGGUAAAACUAGAUCAAAUGUGGGCAUUCCAAGGCUGGUGGUGUUUCCAUCAAAUUUCCUGGGACCAAGGUUCCCUGCCAUUUAGCUCUGCCAUCCUCAGUGCACAUCUUCUGUCUUCAAGUUUGCUUCACGGGCCAAUGUGGCUCCUGCAGCUCCAGCCAUCACAUUUGCUUUACCAACAAGACAGAUGAAUAGGGAAAGCGGAAAAACAGGGCCUCUCCUGGCUUAGUCAGCUACUUUAUAAGUGAACCUUCUCUUUAAGUCUUGCAGCCUGGACUUUGGACAUAUGUAAAAGCUGCAAGAGAAGCUGGGAAACAGACUUUGAACUGGGAGCAUUGCACCCCAAAAUGAAACCAGGCUCUCAGUCUAAGAGGGGGGAGAAUGACAACUGGGUAGACAAAAGCAGACUCUGACACAUCGUAUAUCUGGAUCUAACUUCAAACACAGCUGCUGCUUUUGCAUUAACUUGAUCACAUGUUUUGAUUUUUAAAAUAUACGUCUUUUAUUGGGUUUCCUUCUCUUUCAAGGGUUUGUAAAGUAGUGUGACUGAACUGAACGAAGGCCUCAGUCCAGAGGCAGGUGGCUGUGGACCGUAAUAAAAGCAUGGAGCGUGGCGGACUGAUGAUUUAACUAACACGAGGUUCCUCUGACCUGUGCGACACUGGAUGAGAAAUAGAUGUGUGGAUGUGUCUGUGAAAAACGGCAUAACCUGAUUUUGGGAGAACAGCUCUGCUUUCUCAGGGAAAAGCGCACAAAUUUAAAAUUACUAAGAUUACACGUGAACCUCAAUUCUGGUAGCAUGUAACCGAGCCUGGUCCCUCUCUCGGCUGCCCGGAGGCAACAGGGAAAUUCGUUGAAAGCUAAUUCACCACAGGAAUCACUGGGCCUUGCAGAAAAUGCACUCGGCUCUCCCUCUCGGAAGACAUCGGCGAGCGCUGCCAUCCCCACCAGCUGUGCAGACAGUUGCCUUCAAGUAGUCGAGAAAAUGAGUCACGGUCUGGGCCUGCAUGGCUGAAACACGUCACCGAGAAUGCUUCCCUUCUCUGUUCAUCUCUCCAGCAAGUGUUUAUUGUGCAUCUCCUCCACGUCUGGGGUUCCUCCAGGCCCUGGAGAUGUGUGUGAAGAACUUGAGCCUCUGCACUCACAGAACUAGUGAUGAACAAAUAAACACAAAACAUGAGUUGAAGACAAACAAGACAGGGGAUAAGGACAGAGGGGGCUAGUGUUGGGGUGAACGGUGCCAGCAUUAUUCCUAUUGGGGUUCAGAGAAGGCCUCUCUGAGAAGGUGACACUUGAGCAGAGCUCUGGGGGGCCCUCUGUGUGGAUAUUCAGAGGAAGAGCAUCAAAGGCCUAGGGACCAGCAUGUGCAAAGGCCCUGGGACAGGAACAUACUUGACAAAUCGGAAAAACAAGAAGGAGGCCAAAGAUCGGUGCCUGCUCUUUUCACACUUUUUACAGUUCACUAUUUAACUCUCACUUUAAAUGAGAAUCAGUUAUGCAAAUAGCCUAUCUAAGUUUUGCCAUUUAAAUGUGAUCAUUAAGAGUUUUGCUUCACUGCAUAAUAAGAAUGAGUGGAAUCGGAGAAAGGACAGCAUUAAGCAAACAAACGGGAAACUUCCUUGGCUUCAGAGAGCUGUUCUUUUGGGAUGCAGGUAUAUCCCAUGAGAAGGGGCAGGACGCGGGUGGGCUGGACACGAGUCCUGUGUGUUGUGUCUUCCUGCAGAGGGAAUGUGUGAUGCCCACGCACGCCGGAAGGGCUGUAAGUGAAACAUCAGGCCGUAGUGCAGCUCUCGGAACCCGGUUUCUGCUGGGGGACCUGCCUCAGCUCUGCCGCUUCCACAAAGCACCUGGUUUCCGCAGUGACCCGGUGGUGCAACGACUGUCUUCGCUGAAGGACAGUGCGUAGGAGCCAAGGUUCUCGGCUGCUGAGCAUGGUCGUGGCACGUGGGCGUGUGCCCAUAAGCUGUUGUCUGUGGCCCGGCCCGUGCCCGCCGUGAGCAGCUGGUCUCUGCUGCAGGAGAAUGCCUGUGCUGUCUCAUCUGUCUCCAUCGCGGGCUAACCCCACGGAGGACUUCUGACGACAUCCACGGUUGAAGUGAGUUGGGUCCUGUCCUAGCAAGAUCUCGAUGCUGAUGUAUUCAUCAUCCCACAUGUAAGAUGGUUCAUUUUGUGAGUCAGUGUAAGCAAAACUUACCAGGCUGCAUAUUUUCCUUAUCCGCAGAUAUAAUCAUUGUUAUUGCCUUAUUGGUGUCUUGGUCAUCAUCGUCUGAUAGGAAGUGAUGUCUGAUGAAAAGGUCCACGCUGUCCAAAGGAAGGCACAACACCAAAGUCAUUGUCCCUGUUCUCCCACGGUGAUAAGCAUUGACUGACACGCUGAGGGCGGGAGAUGGGCACGUCUGUUAAAAUAACCAGAGACAAGGUUUAAAACAAGUGCCAUCUCUCCAGCUGUGCUUUUACAGGACACCUCGCUCCACCAUCCCACCCGCCAUGCCAAGGGUCACCCAGACACCGUGAUGCUCAUUGCCACUUUGCAAGAUUAAAGAGAUUUGCUGUGUCACUGUGUCAUGCUGGGUGCGGGUGAACAGGUUUCCCCUGAAAAGUAACAGAGGCCAGUAUUUUGUGACGGCAACAGACGACACACACUGGGACCGUCUCUAGGAAGCUCCUUGAUCCUGGCAGGUGUGUUCACAAGACCUCUCAGACUCCUUGCAUCAGAGGAAGGGCAGCCUCUGCUGCCACAGAGCUGGGCCCUCCCUAAAGAACCAUCACUGGGGUGGUAGCAGCCUUCGGGCUGGCCAGGGCACCUGCCAGCAAGGGCUCCGGGUGCUGCCACCCAGCUUGGCUCUUGCAUCCCACUGGCUGCUCUUAGCCCACUGAGCUGGGUUGGGUUUAUCCCCAAACACCGAGCCCAGCCUGGGCCCUUCCUCUGUGCCACAGCCGCUCCCUGUGGAGGCACAAGUAAGGGAAGGAUGCCCACUGCCCUGGGCUCAGGAGCCCGUGCCCACUGCCCCGUUUGCAGCCCUAACAGGGCCCCAUCAGCCACAGGCUGGGCUGUCAGGAUCCUUUAGAGAUGUCAGGCUUCUCCCUGGCCCGCAGCCAAGAUCUUGUUUACUGCUCUCAAAGCAAACCCGAGCUCCUUCCUCCCGUCCGGUCCAUUUUUCGAAAACAUUAAGCUCUUGGCUCACAGUCAGUGCUUCCUGCUUUCAUCUGUGAGGGCCAGCAACAACCAUGUCCGGCCAGUGGCCAGAGGCAGCUUACCGCUGCCCCGGAGGAGGCGCAGAGGCCCCUGCACAACCAGGUCUGCGCUCGGUGCUUCGAUGGCUGUGCUUUCCCUUGUCACCCACCCCUUCCAGGUACUGGAAGUUGGUCGACUGUUGAAGACGCCAUACAAAGGGCAGCAUGUGUAACUCGGGCCAGGGGAUAUAGAAUUAAACUGAGACCUCUGCAUCUAGUUCAAUCACGCAGUCCCCCAGCUUGGCUGGACACCACAUCUGCAACAUGGCGGCCCCUGGGGUUGUCCUCCAGUGUUCUCCUAAGGCCUGGAGUCACUCCCCCUCCUGGCACCCACUAGAAGCCUAAUUGAAUGCGGCAGGAAGCAGUCACGAGAGCCUUUUAGCAUUUCUCCUGUCUUUCAAUUGUGUACUUUCUCAACAGGAAGCAAAGCUGGUGGGUUCAGAGAGUCAGGGCCCCUCCCUUCCACUUAACCUUCCCCUGCACAUGCAUUCCAAUUUCAAAGGUAUGUUGUUUUCCUUCCACUAAAAGUUUUGUCCUAAUUACCUGGAGGCAUCCAGGUGUGGCUGAAAAUAUGCUCAACCCCUGGAGUAAAAACCCACACCUAAGGGCAGCGAACGGAGGGGCAGGGCCGCUGAGUGCUGAGAGCAACCUGUGGCUGUUUACCUGGUGACUCAGUCAGGAUGCAGAGGCCAGAUGGCUGGCACCUUGCAAAGGCCCACGGGUGCUUUCGUUUGAUUGCUUAAGAGUAAGUUCCCCAGAAAGGGGGUUUCACACGUCCUCACCCUUUCUGUAGCACUGGAGGUUCCUUACACUGCUCUUUGAGCUAUUAUCUUGGGGAAUAAAAUAGAACUUUUCAUUAUGUUUCCCUGGCAUUCAAGGUUGGGUAGAAAGAUGAGAGUUUCAAUUAUUGAACUGCAUCAAGGUGCAAAGUGAGAAGUUGGCAGUCUGCAACCCAGAAGAGGCCCUUGCAGAACCGGCUGUGCUGGCACCAGGAUCCCGGACCUCCAUCCCCCAGAAUUGUGAGAGGACAUCGCUGCUGUCUGUAAGCCGCCCAGCGUAAGGUGGUUUUGUUAUAGCCUGAACAGACUAAGACAUGUGUCAGGUACCCGGUUGUGAUCAGCACGUGGAAGUGGCUGAACUGAUGCUAUAUGAGUACAGUUAACACUAACAGACAGCAAAAAGGGAUGGAGUGGGCUCCCCUUGGUCUCUAGUAAUGGAGACUGCAGGUAACUCUCCCAGGGCCCGGGAGAGAAGCCCAGGAGCCUUGAUCCGAGUCCCACACAGGGCGAACCUCCCCCGGCUUCUUGCUCCUCAUCAGCAGCAGGUAGAGGGGAGAGCUCGGAGACUUCUGCUGUUUUUGCGAGAUAGGAAGUGUGCGUGAAGGCGCUCUGUGAAGAGUGAGUGAGGCGCUGUCCCGCGUGAGCAUCAGAGCGGCAGAGGCGGCAAAGAGGAGUGUCGGCAAGCCACGUUGCUCUGCUUUGGUGCACACCUGAAACCACGCCUUCGAGCCUUUUCCUGAAAGGUGAAGAAUCUGUUUCAUUUCUUUGAAGGUUUCUCUUUGGAAGAACUUAAGUCAAAUGUCAUUUAAUGCUAUGUAAUUGUGCUUCUCAAAUGUUAACGUGCACACAGGUCCCUGGGGAUGGGUUAAAAUGCAGCUUCUGAUUCACUGAGUCUGGGGUGGGCCUGAGUCAAGCUCCCAGACGAUGCUCAUCUGCAGGUCUGGGGUCCACACUUUGGGUAGCAAAGCACAGAGUGAGUGGGAAACGCAUCCUGGGAAGAGAAGCUAUCUCUUAAAAGUCAGUGACUCCGCUGUCUUCCAUUCUCUCUCAAACUCUGCCUUUCCCAGUGGGCACCACAGUAGGGCUAAUGAACCAGAGUGGAAUAGGGCCAUCGACUUGUGACUUGGCACUAGGGUAUCUGUAACCAGUCAUCCAAGCAUCUCUCCUCUGAGACUGAAGUGCUGAGGGUCUUGGCCCCACUGGGUGCCUCCAAGGCAGGAUGGCCUGGAUCAUCCUGGCAUGGAUCAUUCCAUUGUCCCACCGAUGAGCCCACCCAGUGGAAGGGGUCUCUGCACAUCUACCCAGACACAGGACAAGGAGCCUCCGCGGUGAGUAACUAUAUUUUUCCUCAGCAUUUCCUAUGUCACCCACGUGUCACAGAGGUCCAUGCAAGAGGUGCUUCCUGGAGUUUGGGGAGAAAUGACGAGCAGUCCUGCAAAGUCAAGGUGUAACAUUACAGAACCCUGGAGUUGGGAGAGGCCCCGGAUAGAACUGAGUCCUACUUCCUUCUCAGUGCAGAGAGCCCGGGAUGACCUUCCUGACAGGUAGUUGGGCAUUGCCCUCUCCUGGAGUUAUUCUUGUGAUGGGGAUUGGCGACGUUGCACAGGCUGUUCCUCCGCUAGAGACCUCAGCUCCAGCUGACGAACAUUUCUAAGAGAAUGCUGAUUCCCAGGCAGAGCUCAUGCUGCAAGGUGGGCAGGCUCCACCUGCAGCUCCGGGAUGGACAACUCAGCCUCUGUCUGGCUGUCGAGUGGUUUGGGACUGCUGCGACGGCAUCCGAGGGAGUUGCGGGCUCGUGGAAGGGGUUUCCCAGCCUUACUGAGAGGUCUUCUAGAAGUGACUCACCCAGUGGACUUAAGUAAGUUCUCAGGUGAUCAGCCCAGGACUCCAAGAGGAGCCAGCCUGGGAGGGAAGCUACUGAGGAUGGAUGAGCAGAGAAAUGGAGGGAACCUGAGACUGACGGCACGGUGGCCUCCUGGCUCCUCCAGUGAUGGAGCAAGCCCUGCCUUCGGACUUAACAGUCAUAGGAGCCGCUACAUUUCUUUAUUAAUUAAACUAGUUUAAUUCAGGAUUUCUGCCAUCCUACCUGGCACACACACAGUAUGCAGGAGAGAAAUAUUGUAGACAUAUUUCCAAGGAAUUAGUCAACCGUGAAGGAAUUUCUGAUGAUACAGCUGAUAUCUGGUAUGGCAGUCACCUUUCCAUGGCACCCUAAACUCUCAUCGCAAUGAAUCCUGACCUUCAGUAAUCUCUUCUGAAUUUUAUAAAUAAAUGCUAAGUAGGGAAAUAGAGUAAGUUUCUUUUCAGUCAAUCAACUGGGUUUAUUUAUUUAUACUGGUAUCUACGUCCACAUGUAAAAAAUCCAUUAUAUAAAUUUUGAAAUAAUCUGCUCCUUGAUAUAUAAAUUUAGUUGCCUUCAGUACAGAUUACCAGUUGUACCAAGAUUAUGCAUUUUAUAAUUUAAAUCACACUUGAUUUUAUAGGGAAUAAAGAGUUCUCUAAAAUCACAAAAAAAUAUGUUUAUUUAACAUAACUCGAGAAGUUCAUGGAAACAGUCCAAAUUAUAAUUCAAAGUUGAAAAGGAUACAUUGGGCUAAAGUGUCUAAAACCUGAGGAAGAAAGCAUGACUUAAUUUCAUUGUCUUGGAUGGUAGGUCUAUUAAACGUAUGUACUUAACUAGAAAAUCAGCCCUGGCCUUAUUAGAUAUCUUAAGCCCUACUAAGAAUCUUCAAUUUUUAAAAAAUGGUAUUAAAAGUUGCAAAUCAGGACACAAAGUCUGCGAAUGGGAUAGGAUGUUGGAAUCUGAACCCUGUUGAACAAUUUCACACAGUGAGUGGUCAGAUCUCUGAUGAUCCCCUCAUAUGUAUAAAUUCAUACAUAAAUACAGGAAUUAAAACGAGUCAGCUCAUUCAUAAAAUAUGAGUUGUUUGCGCAUGUUUUCCAAGCACUGCUGGGAAAAGAAAAAAGGGACAGAAAGAAGUAGGCUCCUGAAAGAGGUGACUUGCGUUGGAGAUAAUCGUCGGACGACUUUGCAGCGAUUCUCCCACAGUGCACGCCCUCACCCAGCGCUGCCCGGCCCGCCUUGGUGGGCAAGAAGCGGUGCCCUUUCUCAAGGCCAUAUUAAAGCGCACGUUCCCUCUGACGACGCCAGUGAAGGCAGGACUGGCGUCUGCUGCCCACCUGGGAAAGUUUUAAUGGUUGAACUCUGCACAGCCCGGCUGGGCGGAGCAGCGGGAGAUGAAGCGCCUCUGCAGAACCAACCAGCCUGCAGGCAUUCCCGAGCUGAGGAAAACACUUUAAUUAAUAUGUAAAACAGCAGUGGGAAGAAGAGCCAGGUUAAUGUUCAAACUACAUCACUACGGGCAGCGUUCAGGUUGUGAAACCCGGGGACACUUAACAGGAGUUCCAGUCUAAAGGCGCAGACGGGCUGGUGUGCGUGAGCAGCAUCUGAGGUGCUGGAAGCCCUUUUAUCUACCCCCCACCCCCCACAGUGGUAUUCCUCUUUCUGUGCUUAAAAACAUUGCCUUUGACUUGCACACUGCUGUUUUUAAUUUGCAAGGCACCCUCCACUUACGAAACCACCGAGGGCUGCCAGUGGCUGCAGGCAACUGUUUGGGCCCAGCCUGAAAGCAGCAUGGACCUGGGAGAGCGGCUGCCUAACGCUGCUCUGCGCGGGCGGGAAACGUCCUGCGCUUGCCUGGGCCGAGGUCACGAACUCUGACCUGGGCAGAGUGUCGCACAUCCUCGCUGGGCAGGAAUCCACGUCCGGCUGAGCCCUGAUCCUUCAAGGGGGGCGGUAUGUGAAGACACGGAGCUGACAGGUCUUCCCUGGAUUGAACUGGAACAGCUUCAUUCAGUGUCUGAACGAUUAACCCACUUAAAGAGCAGGUGCAGCGGCCGGAAGACUCACGGCAUCUGAACACGCGUGUGCCUUUGACUCUCCCUCUUGAGGGCUCACAGGUAACUCGAGAGCAAGGUACCUUCGAACUGGCCCCCCCUCCUUAAUCACCCUGCGAGGGAGGAGCCAGAGCUUGGAAGUGAUGCCGUGUUCCUCCUGCCUCUCAGGAUCCAGUAAAGUACCCUGUCUGGCCACUAGACAGCCAAGCAUCUCCAAAAUAAGGACAUUUUCUCGGGUCACAGACUUCUUUUAAGAAUUAAAACUUUCCUAGGAAGAAAUCUAUAUUUCUUAUUUGCACAUGUAUGCAAAAUUUGCAUACAUUUUCAUGGUUUUCCACCUACCCUCUUCUGGCCCAGUUAAGACCUCUCCUCUGGAGUCCCACCUGUCCCACCUCCUCUGCCUUUGUCUCCAUUUGGAGCUCCACUCACGCCUGUAUCUCGCCUGGGUUGUUACUAUAACCCCUGGCCUUUGGCAAGGGUUUCCUUCCUCUCCGCCAUGCUGGCAGAGCUGUCUGUCUGCAGGCCCCAGGGCUCCCCGGGGAUCUGCAGAAGAAAGCCAGAGCACCAGCCUGGCAUCGCAGUCCUGUGGGGUUCCUCUCUUGCUAGGGGCCUGCCAGAUACCUUGCGUUUCCGUGGACUUGCUCACGCUGCCCUCCUGCUUCUUCCAGUACAUCCUCUUGGCUCUCUUUAUAAGUCCCCUCUCCUUCUCCGACUAGAUAGCACAUAUUUUCCUCUGAGGCUCAGGCCAUUCUCACUCCCGCUGGGAACAUUCCUUGCUCCUCUGAUGGAAUCCUAUGCCUCCCAGAUAUAGACUGGAGCACCCUGGGCCUACCUGGGUCUAACAGCUCAGUGUUGUCACUGUUGGCUGAGCGUCUGCCUCCUUCAUUUGACUUUGAGCUUCUGCAAUCACAGUUUCUGUCUUCUGUGUUCUCACGUCUAAAGAUCCCAGGACAGUGGCAGCCCCUGAUUCCUACAGGGAGGACGGUGAUCUGUAGGAGGUGGUGAUCUGGGGAGGGCACUUGUUUCGAAGCUGAAUUUCAUAGCAAGUACAAUGUUCUAACUUACAGUCAGUGUAUACUAGGGGUGGCGUGAAGGGUUGAUGGAGAACAUACAGGGCAGGGGUUAAAGCCCCUGUCCCUACCCUCCACCACCCCCUUGGGUGUUGCUCCUGUCCCUGUACGCAGCCACACUGCCAGGCACGUAAGGUGCUCGCUGCACAUUUGUGGGAUGCACAGAUGAAGAGAUGCUUGGAGGCUCAGAGGAAUGGCUCUGGAGAGACACAGUGCAGACCUAUGGGUGGAAGAAGCCAAACCCAGGAGUCGGAAGUCAGAGCCUCUAGCCGCCCUCUGCCCCGAGCCACAUGAUUUCUCUAUCUCCGUCUGUCUGUCUGUCUCUCACACAUACCUAUACCCAUGAGCCUCCCCACCUUUUCAAGGAUGUUGCCUCGUAGGCUGUCCUGUGUUCCAUUGCUUUGUACUCAUUCCUCUACUCAGUUAUCAAGCACGCCACAGGCCCCUCCCCUGGGACAGGCCCUCCUCCAGGCUCUACAUUAACCACCGGACACCAAGCUCUUUAUCCCAUGGUGUACCCCUCACCCCAGGACCACUGCUUGUGGCUUCUUAUUCACUUUCCCCUUUGUUCGGCUCCCGUCUCCACCACUCUGCUGAGACAGCUCACCAGCCUUCUGAUUGGCAGGUCCAGAGGACUCUGCUAAGCCCACGGCCUUUGACCUCUGUGAGGUGUUUAAACCACCGACCACAUUCUGCUUCGUUGGCAACACGCUAAGGCCACCACCACACAAAUAAGCUCUGUCUCCUCACUUGCUGUUCGCUUUUCUCUGUUUUCCUAUGGCGUCUUUCUGGGCCAUUCUUUCUCGACUGAUUUAGCAAAAGUAAGGAUGCAUUUCAUUUCCCAUCUUUCAACUCUUUCUUAAAAGAUUUCAUUUUCUGUCAUUUUCUCUUCUUUGUUAGAGUUUUAUAUUGUUUUAGUUAUGGUGUUUUCCAAGGCCAGAUCUACACUUCUAGCCAUGCUCAGUUCUCUGUGGCGCAGACUCUUUUCGCUAACUGCUCUCUGGUUAAUUCUCCUGUUUAAAUGACAGGCAACUCAGAUCCAUAUGUCCAGUGUGCGUUCCACUGUGUACCACUCACGGUGUCAUAGUCUUUCCAUCUGUGUAGCUUCAAAUUGCCUCGUUCUUCUUACAGGCAUCAAGGGAUGCCGCCACUCACAUAUAAACAAACAAAAAACAAAACUAAAAACAACCUCAAAGGAACUUAUAUAUGGAAAACCAUAUUAUUCUAAAAUAAUUAAAUUUGCUUGCAAUUUACAAAAAGACUCAUUUUUUCAUGAAGAUAACACAACUAUCUUGGUUUUGUUUCUCUUAUUGUAAACAAAGUCAAGGCAAAAAAAUAGGAAUUUAUUGGCUCAUGAAACUAGAAACUCCAUGGAUUGACCUAGAGCAGUGGUUUUCAAAUGGAGCGUGCAUGGGACUCACCUGGAGGGCUUGUGAAAAGGUAUUGCUGAGCCCCACCGGGAGUUUCUAAUUCAGUGAGUCUGGGGCGGCUGAGAAUUUGCAUUUCCAACAAGGUCCCAAGUGAUGCUGCUGCUGCUAUGCCAGGGACCCCUCUCUGAGAAGCGCUGGCCCCGAGAUUCUGGCACUGCUGGAUCCCUGUGUUCAAUGAUAGUCCCAGGAAUCUGCCUGUUUCUCUCUUCACCUCUCCACAUUGUAUUCCUCUGGGUUUAUGUCCUGAUACUGUAAGCUCCUGGCAGUCCUAGGCCUGCAACUCUUCAGAUUUAGUAAUUUCAGGAAGAGACUUUCCCAACAUCCAUAUAAAUUUCCUAAAAGAUGGCUCUGGCUCCAUGUGGGUCACAUGCUCACCCCUGGACCGGUCACUUGGGUACCCUGUGGGGUAACCUGAUUCUCCAGCCUGGGUCCCAAGUCUACCCCCAGGUGACAGCUUCUUUAGUGACAGCUCUCCUGCCCACUUGCAUUCAGAAUCCUACUUAACGGAAGGAACAGAGCGUAGGGCAAACAAGAUGCGAUAGGUGUUGACAUACACCGAGCUGGGCAAGGGACUCAACCUCACGGAGCCUCACCUUACUUCCCCAGGUAAUUGGUUCAAUAAUACCCACACUUCAGGAUCACUGGGGGAUUAGAAAUAUCACCUGCUGGAAACAGCCAGCACACUGCCUGCCACAUAAAAUAUGUGGAAUCAAAGAUAGUUAGAUAUUAGGGGAAAAUUGCUUCGUCUGGGACUCCUCCUUCUCCCAGUAAAGGUGGUUCAUUAAAUGCCUGGCAACAGGCAGGUGGAGCCUGAUUAUUUAAUCAGCCAGGCAUGGCAGAUGCUCCCACUCCUGCAGAUGGCAACCAGGACCCCAGUGCCACCUGGGACCUGAUGUUCUGGGCACCCCUCGUCCAGUGGGGGCAAAAAUUCCUUACCUGCCUGAGUGUCAGGGCUGGGGCUGGAGCCGCCAGACCAUCCCCAUAUCAGGGCCAAGUGCAUAUGCUCCUGCUCCUUGACUAGUAACCACACCCUUUCCGUCCAUUUAUGUGAGAACUAAGGUCCUCCAUUGGAAAAUUAGGCAUAUGUUUAAGAAACACUCAUUCAAUUAGCACCUCUCAAGUGUCUGCAUCCCUUUGGUUAGAGAGGCUGGGGCACAAAGCCGGCUCCUUUCUUUUGCUAAGGUUCCUUUUUGUGUGGCUCUCACUCUUUCUUCUUUGUGGAAGCCUUCUCCAAGACUUUGGUAGUCACAGGUCUGCAAGGGUGCUGGGAGGUUAAAAUUUCCCUUCUGCUUAGCUGAUAAUUACAGCUCUAUAGCACUUUCUUGCCUCUGAGCUCCAAUACGCAGAGCUCCUCUAAGGAGCUUGUCUUAGGGUAAUUAGGGUACUCUGUUGUUUGGGAGGAGGGGUGGGUCAACUACCUGAACGUCUUUGCUUUCCAGUGGUGGGCUUCCAACCAUCCAGCAACCAGGAGGAUGAUGACUAUGAUAACUAUUAUUUGCUGAGCACUUAUUCUAUGCUGGCAUUGAAUCCUCACAAAACCCAGAUGGGGAAACUAAGGCUUGGUGAGAUAAACGCCUUGGGCAGGACCACCUAGCAACACACAGCACAGCAGAGCUGGAGAGCCAACUCUGCUCCGACGCCCCGUCUGCGAAGGCAGCCCUGGGCUGGAGUUCCCCUGUGCGGAACCGGGAACAUGGAGUUGUUGAUGUUGUUCUAAAUUGGAUUACAUACAAAUUCUCUCCCCCUGCAAUCUUCAGUGAGAUUCCUGGCAGUCGCUGAAGACUCACUGCUUAAUUGUUGCCACCAGGGAUUUUCUCAGAUCACUGCUCUGGGCCCAGGGCCAUCACGCCAAUUCACCACGCUGAAGAGAUGCCUUUGUUGGUGCAAAGGCAACCUCAGGUAAUCCACGUUUUGAUCCACCUCUGAUCUUAAGCACCAAAUUAAUUCUAGAAGUUGCAUAAGGAAAGGUCGACCCUUCUGUUUUCUUUGGGAGCGGCCGCCAACAGCGUGGUGGGUUGUGGGGGAUGGGGCGAGCCAGCUGGGCUUUGUCCCUGCCUUCGCCCCCUCUCUGCUUCCGUCACCGGGCAGCUGCGUUUGAGUAGCUGGAGAGUCCUGCUCCCGUGUCACUGGCAAGCGCGUGACUUAGAAUAGCCUGAGAUUAAAAUACUGGACUUCAAAUCCCCAGGAGUCAGACAGCCCUGUCGCAGUCAACUGGGAGACAGCACAGCACUUCCCUUCUUGGCGGGUAGACUUAUGUAUUUGAGCUACCCUUUAAUGGUUUAGAAAAGUUAAACAGAACCACAAUUUUGGAGGCCUCCUAUGGUUUUCUACCUUCCCUACAAUUCGGAUAUGGUUGAUAGGUGAGUGAACCAAGUCAGUGAAUGAAUAAACGAACCUAAUGAAAUCAAAUGCUUGAGAAGACGAACGAUGAUAAAUACGUCAUCUAAUUUCUAUUUGGGGCCAAUUAGAACUUCUUAAAGUUUUGGGACUAACUGGAAAGCAUUCACACUUUAUGGAGAAAAUAAAUCACUAAUUUUUGGAUAUCUCAUGCCACCAUGGAGACCACACAUUAUUUACCCGAGAAGAUUUACAAUAGCUGUCCUGUAAACCUUUACAGUGCUGCAUCCUGCGACUGUGCAAGUCAGGGCUCUCCCUCCACCUGAGUGGGGGCGGUUGAAAGAUGGUGGCAUCUGCCAAGGCUUUACUAGACACUUGAGGGGAGAACAGGCCUCGUUAUCCAGGCACCGCACGCCAUUGGGUCUGGCCACCUUUCUAACUGGCUUGUUUUCCCUUUUUUGGGGAGGUAUCACCUGUCGAGGGAGGAACGCCCAUCACCAGCUGACUGGGUGUUGAAUUUAAGGAAGUCUGGAGGUGACCAGAGAAACCUGCGAUUGAAUUUUCGUAUUAAUGAAAGUCUGCGUAAAUCAAGGCUCACACGGCUCUUACUGAAUAAAAUAUUAUACCUGGAGGCAGGAGGACGUGCUGUGUUUGACUAUCUUCAUUAAUCUGUAAGUUUGCUGUGCAAGGCUGUCAAGAAGAGACUUUCCCUUCCGUAUUUCUGUUUUCUCAGGUCAAGAAAAUGUUCUUUCCUUCGUAAGACCAUUCUCUUUUCCCUAAUAAACAACUGACCAUUUUUUCAAGGAUUUAUAAAGUGUCUUAGUCAUAUUCAGGUUCAAGGCUUGGCUGGGUAUAACUGUAGGCGACCGCUGCCCAGCAUUCUGCAUUUUAUUUUAUUUUUUUCUGCUUUAUCUCCCCAAAUCUCCCCUGUACAUAGUUGUAUAUCUUAGUUGUGGGUCCUUCUAGUUGUGGCAUGUCGCAUUUUAUAACGAUGAUGUUUUACUCAGUGAUAGUCAGGUCAGGUACGUUUUAAUUAUAAAGACCAUUGUGGGGUCAGUAUAGUAACUGACUGGAACUAUAGACAUGCUGCCCAGGCUGCUGGCUGUGGUCCCAGGCCAGGCUCUGUCAAUGAAGGCACGAAGGCAAGGUCAAAGCUUAAGCUCAGCCUUUAGUGGGGCAGUCAUCAUGAACUCUGGAAAACUCGAUACCUUAAAUAUUUUGGUAUGGUCCAAUCAAACAGUGUUCGUGACCUAGUUUGACAGUUAUCCAGGAGGUGCAAUAAGGUGAUUUUUCUUUUAAACUACCUUAUCAACCAAGCAGAUUCUUCCAUGUGGCCAUCUGCUCAUUUUGCAGCCCUCAGCUGUUCUUGGAGCCGAAAAAAAAAAUUCUGCUGUGGAAAAAUCAAUGUACUUCUCUCACAGAGACUUAGAUUUAAUAUGUCACAGGAAUAGAUGUCACAGAAAUACCUAAAUUGAUAACACCGAUUAUAACUCCAUUUGAUUGAGAGAUCUUGGGGUAAAUUAAGCACGGCUCAGUGUAGGGUUAAUCAGAUUAUUUAGGUUAUUGUUUUAAUAACGAAUUCAGCAAUUUUAGAGAGUAGACUAAGAAACCCGUAGCAAUUUCACACUGAAAACGAUUUCAGACUUCUGUCCUGUAGGAAAGUCUUGUUGAGACUAUUUUCUUGGUGUUUUUGAAACUGUGCUUCUGUUUGUAGUUUCAAAAAUAAAAGCUUUGAAUCUGGCUCCCUUUGGGGUUCAGCAAAUUAUCGCAGUAUGUUUUGGUUUGUAUUUGAGGUUCUGUUUGGGGCGAGUCCCAGAGUUGGUGCCGCGUUUGUGACCAGGGCCCGAUUUCAUCAGAGCACGUCCACAGCAGGAAGAGCCAGGUUGGCAGCACACAGCCAUGACUCCCCCACCACACCUGCAUUCACAGCCACGACUCUGCCUUCGCGCCCAGAGGGGAGAGCUUCUAGAGGCUUCUCUACUGUAGAUUGCCAGGGGUGACCCUAAGGAGAGACAGCGAAAGUGUCAGUUAGCCGAUGAACACAGAGAUCUGGGUGCCUGACUUCUCUCCCAGCCCCAGCACACCUGCUGCGGUGUGAAACAUGGCCCAGCGUGCUUGGGUUUGCCUCUGGAGCCUUGCGGAGGCUCCCGAAUCCACCAAGGGCCCCUCGCGGCCACCCCACACCCAGCCCUCCGUGUCCUUGAAGCCUGCACGUGCUGGGCUCUGCGGCAGGCCAUGGAGCCCCAUUUUCACAUUUGAGGAAAAUCCGACUCACAGAGGACUCAUGUUUGAAAGUCAUAGGACAAUAAAUGGUGGAGUUCAUUCAACUGCCUCUUGGCUCCCAAGCAGGUCUGUUUUCUAUCUUGCAGCCACCGUGAACACAGGUAGACAGUAGCAGGUAAAUUGUAAACUUCAACCUUUUUACAGGCAGAAUAUCUGUGAGGACCACAGGAGGAUAAUUAUAAAGAUCUCAUGCAAAUCAAAUAUUUUAAUACAGCAAAACCAGAUACCAGCAACCCUUUCUAGCUGACCUUAGCUGCAUUGUCGGCCAAGCAGUAUUUUCGUCAAUCAUCCAUAGAAAACCUGUUAUUUUUUUGGAAGCAGUGUCCCUCAUCCUUGCCACAGAAUGGCUUUUUCUGAAUAAAAAAUAGACUGUGGAGCCAGGAUCUAGUUUUUUGUUCCCCAGAAGUGGGCUGCCCUAUGGCUUGGGAGAGGGGGCAGGAACACACUUACAGCUGUUUCAUCAAGACCCCUUCACCUUGACACUCGGAGUAAGACACUGUUCAUCUGGUCGAGUAAACCCUGAAGGUCACCUAGUGGCUUGGUCACAAAAUCUAUAUAGAAAACGAAAUUUAUAUAAAUCUCUACUUUUCAUUUGCUCCAGAUUAAUUAAAUCAAGCAGGAGACUAGAAUAUGCUGCCAAUGCAGAAUAUGAAUAAAAUAAAGAAGUAUUUACAAGAACUGUGAUUACUGAUUCUAGUAUUUGGUAAAACUCAGAGUGUGAUUCGCUGUAGAGGUGUUUUUGGUUUUUUUCCUUCCUUUUUCAUUUGUCUUUUUAACCGAGGAAUGAUGUUUUCCAUUAUAUUUUCCUUUUUUUGUGUUUUGUGGCUGGUUUGCCCCACUUACAGUUCUCACUCACCUUCCUGAGCUACAUCUUCACACAUCAUUGCAGGGACCCUUUAAGUGAACAAAAUAGUCCCUUUGAACCGUGGAAUAGGUGAACGACCUUUUGAAAUAAACACACACUCUGGUGCAAUGCAGCCAGAAAAACCAAACGAAUUGACAGCCAAAUAAAAAGUGAUCGGUUCAAUUUAGGUACACCUGCCAGCUCAAGGCUGCCAGCCGGGAAAUUCCUACGCAUUUUCCUAAGUGGCUGUUACAUAAAAUAUUGAAGUCGUACGUGUCUGUAAGUAACCAUUGCUCUGGUAUUUAAAGAGCCUUGUUCUUUUAUUUUUCCUUCCCGGAAUGGAGAAUCAAGAGACCAGGGUGUACAUACUGAAAACGAGAAACCAAAUCAAACAGUGGCUUAUUCUUUAAAGUAAACAGAGCAAAGGCUAUUGGUGGAGAUGUGGCCAAGAGCUGCUCUGUGCAGACAAAGAGGAGAUUAUGAAGACAAAAAUCUCUUGCACUGAAAUAGUCAUCUUUAAUGACGGAACUGCUUUUAAUGUUUUUUAUUUGCAUGGAAUGUUAAGGGUAAAUGUUGCUGACAAAUACUAAUGAGAAAAUGGGAAAGACUGUUUAUAGAUUUGGGGGAGCUCUGAAAGUCCCUUCGCCCUUGGCCUGCACGGACCCUGCUUCUCCUUCAAAGCCUCACUGCGACCCCUCCUCUUCAGGGAGCCCCUGGACCACCCCAAUCCUUUCCAAUCUCCUCUCCUCCAUAUUUCUGAAACCCACAAAGUCGUGCUGUCAGUGCAACACUAUGUCACUUGGUUUAGCUUUUUCUCUUUAGCCAAUAACUGGGGGCACAAAGGCUGGCCCCAUCCAAGGUUCAUAUUUGAAAAACAACAAAAACCAGAGUGCUUUUGAUGAACUCUGUUCUGUUUUGUGUGGCAUCCCAGUCUAGCCAUCUGCACUGAAAGGAGUGGGGGUGCCUUACCUCUCUCUCUUUCCUCCACAGCCCCCAGCGCCAUACUGAGCGGAUCAUGAAUGACUGAUGGACGGGUGGAUGUGGAAAUGUGUCCGGGUGAUUGCACUCUGGCCUUAAAAGUUUAUUCAGAUAUUUGGAACAAGAUCACAGACUAUCUCCAACAGCUAGUAAAAUUCAGUCCUUUAGCCAACUGGUGGAAGGUGAGCAGGCUACCUGUAAAAUUGCUCCAGGGUCACCCUGCUGCCAGUUCACAGACAACUGGACCCCUGCUCUGGGUCACUGCUUCUGAUGGGGGGCUGCUCUCAGAGAACUGUAAAGUGCUGGGAUGGUGGUGGUGUUUGGCUUCUCAGGUCUGACCCUGGUUGGAGCCGUUCUGUGUGCUAACACGUCUGAGCUCUUCGAAAGAGGGUCAUUUCCACACGCUGCACGAUGUUGCAAUGGGAGCUGGGUGUUUCCCGACGAGAUGGCCGGACCCCAAGUUUCUGGGACGGGUCUCCUAUCAAAAGUCCUUAAACAGAAUAUGGCCAAGGAUCUAAAGCCCCUUUGUUAAGACAGGCAUUGCCAACCCACCUGUUCACCUUAAAAGCAAAUUCUUACUUUCGAUUCCAACAACAUUUCUUAUAAAUGUCACUCAAAGUACUAAUUUUCUUCUUCCACAAAAGCAGUAGUCUCUCUCAUACUGUUUUUUAUGAAGUUCUGUUGAGAACUGUGAAAUACUCAACUCCUGUUGUGUAGGGGGGACCAGCUACGAAUUCUAAGUGUAAAAUUAAACUUUACGGUCAAUAUAAGCAUCGUCUUCCAGCCCUGAUGAUUAGCACUGUGACACUACAUCUCCAUUAAAUGGUGACCGUGUGAG